RNAcentral lists this ribosomal RNA (253 nucleotides) under uncultured bacterium. Its description in RNAcentral is "partial 16S ribosomal RNA". It matches the Rfam family "Bacterial small subunit ribosomal RNA", at positions 524 to 776 of the family's 1533-position model. The record is from RNAcentral.
UACGUAGGGUGCAAGCGUUAAUCGGAAUUACUGGGCGUGAAGCGUGCGCAGGCGGUUUUGUAAGUCUGUCGUGAAAGCCCCGGGCUCAACCUGGGAAUUGCGAUGGAGACUGCAAGGCUUGAAUCUGGCAGAGGGGGGUAGAAUUCCACGUGUAGCAGUGAAAUGCGUAGAGAUGUGGAGGAACACCGAUGGCGAAGGCAGCCCCCUGGGUCAAGAUUGACGCUCAUGCACGAAAGCGUGGGGAGCAAACAGG